Phacochoerus africanus (Common warthog) is the source of this 934-nucleotide long non-coding RNA. RefSeq lists it as uncharacterized. NCBI's taxonomy places the organism in Eukaryota, Metazoa, Chordata, Mammalia, Artiodactyla, Suidae. The transcript has 3 exons. The record is from RefSeq and is a predicted model, not a curated record.
GCUUCUGGGAGGUUGGUCGUCUCCUCCCUCCUGGCGGGCCCUCCCACAUCCUUCUGGUUAAGUCUUCAGGACAGCACCUUGUUCCUUUUCAGGGCUUCCUGUUGUGAGACCACUCGUGCAAGCAGCUAUCAUCCUGCCUGACCAAGAAUUGCCCGGUGACAUCAGCUAUUCCCCCGAAGUUGACGCAGCUACUAAAUAUACUGGUGUGUGCAUAAAGGCAGCUCAAGAAUGGUGUUUAGAAUUUGUUGCCUUUUUAUGAUUCUAACCACACAUUGGACAGAUGUCUUCAGGGACUUCUCUCCAACUCCCAGAUCACUUUCCUGCGCCAGAACUGAUGGUUUGGAGACUAACAUCUUGUGAAUAUCACAUUUGGCUCAUUUUCUCCUAAAUGCAGUACUUUGUGUUUGCUCACAUUGAGGCUCAUCUGUCACUCCCUCACCCAGAAACACAGGCUUGCAUUGACUGCCAGUUUUGCAUUGACUUAGAAUUACACUGUUUCGAAAGUGCAAAGAAUCAGUAUCUUUACCAUUUAUAAAAUGUAUCGGUUCUUUGUGAUGGGAACUGUUCUAAUUCAUAAAUAUUAAUGUAUUUAAUGAAAUUCAAUCCUGGCCCCACUUUGGGGGUGCUCACUUUAUAUUUCAUCAACCUCCUAUAUUAGGGGUUUGUUUUGUUUUGUUUUCUUAAGCUAGAGACUGUGGGUAGAAUUUAGGAAGCAUGUGAAUUUGGAUGGAAAAAUACAUUUAUAUUUUCACUAACCUCUAACUGAAACUUAGCAUUUUCUUCCAUUAUAAAUGUAGGCAAUGAAGUACAGAGGCAUUAGCAUUCCCUGUGACUCUUUCAUAGAUAUUAUCUUAUCACACGUUAUUGCAGAUUUUUUGAAAUAUUUGUGUUCAUACACUUCAAAAGCAUAGUAGCUAUUAGACCUGUCAUCACA